RNAcentral lists this ribosomal RNA (259 nucleotides) under uncultured Rhodocyclaceae bacterium. Its description in RNAcentral is "partial 16S ribosomal RNA". It matches the Rfam family "Bacterial small subunit ribosomal RNA", at positions 1125 to 1382 of the family's 1533-position model. The record is from RNAcentral. Lineage: Bacteria; Pseudomonadati; Pseudomonadota; Betaproteobacteria; Rhodocyclales; Rhodocyclaceae.
AUUUGGUUGGGCACUCUAAUGAGACUGCCGGUGACAACCGGAGGAAGGGUGGGGAUGACGUCAAGUCCUCAUGGCCCUUAUGGGUAGGGCUUCACACGUCAUACAAUGGUCGGUACAGGAGGGUUGCCAACCCGCGAGGGGGAGCUAAUCCCACAAAGCCGAUCGUAGUCCGGAUCGCAGUCUGCAACUCGACUGCGUGAAGUCGGAAUCGCUAGUAAUCGUGGAUCAGCAUGUCACGGUGAAUACGUUCCCGGGUCUU